UCCAGGGAUGGGAAGCCUAGUGGACAUGGCAUCUGCCCGGUAAGCGGACACUGUGGGUUCGUUUCCCAUCCCUGGAC
This 77-nucleotide transfer RNA is filed under the name Cordylochernes scorpioides. Its description in RNAcentral is "tRNA-Thr". The stretch from base 10 to 72 matches the Rfam family "tRNA", at positions 5 to 66 of the family's 71-position model. Rfam says of the family: Transfer RNA (tRNA) molecules are approximately 80 nucleotides in length. Lineage: Eukaryota; Metazoa; Arthropoda; Arachnida; Pseudoscorpiones; Chernetidae. The record is from RNAcentral.